RNAcentral lists this ribosomal RNA (254 nucleotides) under uncultured bacterium. Its description in RNAcentral is "partial 16S ribosomal RNA". It matches the Rfam family "Bacterial small subunit ribosomal RNA", at positions 526 to 779 of the family's 1533-position model. The record is from RNAcentral.
CAGAGGGUGCAAACGUUGUUCGGAAUUACUGGGCGUAAAGCGAGUGUAGGCGGUUCGGUAAGUCGGAUGUGAAAGCCCCGGGCUCAACCCGGGAAGUGCACUCGAUACUGCCGAGCUAGAGUAUCGGAGAGGUUGGUGGAAUUCUCGGUGUAGAGGUGAAAUUCGUAGAUAUCGAGAGGAACACCGGUGGCGAAGGCGGCCAACUGGACGAAUACUGACGCUGAGACUCGAAAGCGUGGGGAGCAAACAGGAUU